UAAUAAAGUCGUAUACAUCGUAUAAUAUUGGGGAUAUGGCCCAAAAGUUUCUACCAGGCUACCGUAAAUGGCUUGACUACGAAGUAAGUGAUA
RNAcentral lists this non-coding RNA (93 nucleotides) under Robertmurraya massiliosenegalensis. Its description in RNAcentral is "Purine riboswitch". It matches the Rfam family "Purine riboswitch aptamer". Rfam says of the family: Riboswitches are metabolite binding domains within certain messenger RNAs that serve as precision sensors for their corresponding targets. Allosteric rearrangement of mRNA structure is mediated by ligand binding, and this results in modulation of gene expression. A class of riboswitches that selectively recognises guanine and becomes saturated at concentrations as low as 5 nM. Lineage: Bacteria; Bacillati; Bacillota; Bacilli; Caryophanales; Bacillaceae. The record is from RNAcentral.